RNAcentral lists this ribosomal RNA (1180 nucleotides) under Limosilactobacillus reuteri. RNAcentral's name for it is "bacterial SSU rRNA". It matches the Rfam family "Bacterial small subunit ribosomal RNA", at positions 123 to 1290 of the family's 1533-position model. The record is from RNAcentral. Lineage: Bacteria; Bacillati; Bacillota; Bacilli; Lactobacillales; Lactobacillaceae.
AACCUGCCCCGGAGCGGGGGAUAACAUUUGGAAACAGAUGCUAAUACCGCAUAACAACAAAAGCCACAUGGCUUUUGUUUGAAAGAUGGCUUUGGCUAUCACUCUGGGAUGGACCUGCGGUGCAUUAGCUAGUUGGUAAGGUAACGGCUUACCAAGGCGAUGAUGCAUAGCCGAGUUGAGAGACUGAUCGGCCACAAUGGAACUGAGACACGGUCCAUACUCCUACGGGAGGCAGCAGUAGGGAAUCUUCCACAAUGGGCGCAAGCCUGAUGGAGCAACACCGCGUGAGUGAAGAAGGGUUUCGGCUCGUAAAGCUCUGUUGUUGGAGAAGAACGUGCGUGAGAGUAACUGUUCACGCAGUGACGGUAUCCAACCAGAAAGUCACGGCUAACUACGUGCCAGCAGCCGCGGUAAUACGUAGGUGGCAAGCGUUAUCCGGAUUUAUUGGGCGUAAAGCGAGCGCAGGCGGUUGCUUAGGUCUGAUGUGAAAGCCUUCGGCUUAACCGAAGAAGUGCAUCGGAAACCGGGCGACUUGAGUGCAGAAGAGGACAGUGGAACUCCAUGUGUAGCGGUGGAAUGCGUAGAUAUAUGGAAGAACACCAGUGGCGAAGGCGGCUGUCUGGUCUGCAACUGACGCUGAGGCUCGAAAGCAUGGGUAGCGAACAGGAUUAGAUACCCUGGUAGUCCAUGCCGUAAACGAUGAGUGCUAGGUGUUGGAGGGUUUCCGCCCUUCAGUGCCGGAGCUAACGCAUUAAGCACUCCGCCUGGGGAGUACGACCGCAAGGUUGAAACUCAAAGGAAUUGACGGGGGCCCGCACAAGCGGUGGAGCAUGUGGUUUAAUUCGAAGCUACGCGAAGAACCUUACCAGGUCUUGACAUCUUGCGCUAACCUUAGAGAUAAGGCGUUCCCUUCGGGGACGCAAUGACAGGUGGUGCAUGGUCGUCGUCAGCUCGUGUCGUGAGAUGUUGGGUUAAGUCCCGCAACGAGCGCAACCCUUGUUACUAGUUGCCAGCAUUAAGUUGGGCACUCUAGUGAGACUGCCGGUGACAAACCGGAGGAAGGUGGGGACGACGUCAGAUCAUCAUGCCCCUUAUGACCUGGGCUACACACGUGCUACAAUGGACGGUACAACGAGUCGCAAGCUCGCGAGAGUAAGCUAAUCUCUUAAAGCCGUUCUCA